UUGUGGAGGAGGACGCCGGAGGUGGGGCUAAUGACUGGGGUGAAGUCGUAACAAGGUAGCCGUACCGGAAGGUGCGGCUAGAUCACCUCCUAACAGGGAGACAACAAAAUGUUUAUAUUAAUUUUGUCACCUUAGGUCGAUCGGUAUCUCAGAUUCUUAUUUUUAAGAAUUUCAGUUUCUAAGUUUUUUCUAGGUCACACCCAUUACUUUUUCCUGGGCCAUUAGCUCAGGUGGUUAGAGCGCACCCCUGAUAAGGGUGAGGUCCCUGGUUCAAGUCCAGGAUGGCCCAUAUCUCUAUGUUGGGGGUGUAGCUCAGUUGGUAGAGCGCCUGCUUUGCAAGCAGGAUGUCAGCGGUUCGAGUCCGCUUACCUCCACUGAAUACCGCCUCUAAACAUAUUGCUAAAGAGGGAAACAGUUUUGAAAUGUGUAUUAACCUGCUCUGGGCGAAUCUAGCUUCCUAUUUUAAUUUAAUAAAUAAGAUGCUGUACUCAUUGAAUUUUUGAAUUCAUUGUUUUCAGAGAACCUUGACAACUGCAUAGAUUAUUUUUGAAGACAAUAAGCAUCUUUAAGAUGCAGAUUUAUUAUUUGUGCUAACGCAUUAAAUAACAAUUCUAUUAAGCUGAUGCUUCUAUUAUUGAAGUUAUUGGUCAAGCUACAA
RNAcentral lists this unclassified non-coding RNA (658 nucleotides) under uncultured Prochlorococcus sp. RNAcentral's name for it is "partial 16S-23S ribosomal RNA intergenic spacer; may also contain 16S ribosomal RNA and 23S ribosomal RNA". The stretch from base 302 to 374 matches the Rfam family "tRNA". The record is from RNAcentral. Lineage: Bacteria; Bacillati; Cyanobacteriota; Cyanophyceae; Synechococcales; Prochlorococcaceae.